CAUCCUCCAAGGCUAAAUACUCCUGACUGACCGAUAGUGAACCAGUACCGUGAGGGAAAGGCGAAAAGAACCCCGGCGAGGGGAGUGAAAAAGAACCUGAAACCGUGUACGUACAAGCAGUGGGAGCCCCACCACUAAGCCAGUGGUGGAUUCCACAUACGCAUCCUUUGCUGAGGAUACGGUUAACGGAGCGAAAGCGACGUUCAACCUCAAAAGAAGCAGAGGGGGCUUAGUGGUGGGGUGACUGCGUACCUUUUGUAUAAUGGGUCAGCGACUUAUAUUCUGUAGCAAGGUUAACCGAAUAGGGGAGCCGGAGGGAAACCGAGUCUUAAUUGGGCGUUAAGUUGCAGGGUAUAGACCCGAAACCCGGUGAUCUAGCCAUGGGCAGGUUGAAGGUUGGGUAACACUAACUGGAGGACCGAACCGACUAAUGUUGAAAAAUUAGCGGAUGACCUGUGGCUGGGGGUGAAAGGCCAAUCAAACCGGGAGAUAGCUGGUUCUCCCCGAAAGCUAUUUAGGUAGCGCCUCGUGAAUUCAUCUCCGGGGGUAGAGCACUGUUUCGGCUAGGGGGCCAUCCCGGCUUACCAACCCGAUGCAAACUGCGAAUACCGGAGAAUGUUAUCACGGGAGACACACGGCGGGUGCUAACGUCCGUCGUGAAGAGGGAAACAACCCAGACCGCCAGCUAAGGUCCCAAAGUCAUGGUUAAGUGGGAAACGAUGUGGGAAGGCCCAGACAGCCAGGAUGUUGGCUUAGAAGCAGCCAUCAUUUAAAGAAAGCGUAAUAGCUCACUGGUCGAGUCGGCCUGCGCGGAAGAUGUAACGGGGCUAAACCAUGCACCGAAGCUGCGGCAGCGAACGUAUCACCCAAGACAACUUUACGGAGUUGACGAUUGACGGAGCGAAGCGACGUCAAAGCGUUCAUUAAAGUCGAGUUGGCUUAGGGAUACGUUCGUUGGGUAGGGGAGCGUUCUGUAAGCCUGUGAAGGUGGCCUGUGAGGGUUGCUGGAGGUAUCAGAAGUGCGAAUGCUGACAUAAGUAACGAUAAAGCGGGUGAAAAGCCCGCUCGCCGGAAGACCAAGGGUUCCUGUCCAACGUUAAUCGGGGCAGG
RNAcentral lists this ribosomal RNA (1110 nucleotides) under Salmonella enterica. RNAcentral's name for it is "bacterial LSU rRNA". It matches the Rfam family "Bacterial large subunit ribosomal RNA", at positions 454 to 1378 of the family's 2925-position model. The record is from RNAcentral. Lineage: Bacteria; Pseudomonadati; Pseudomonadota; Gammaproteobacteria; Enterobacterales; Enterobacteriaceae. RNAcentral also lists the same sequence under 1 other name.